UACGUAGGCAGCAAGCGUUGUUCGGAGUUACUGGGCGUAAAGAGUAUGUAGGCGGUUGGGUAAGUUUGGUGUGAAAUCUCCCGGCUUAACUGGGAGGGUGCGCUAAAGACUGCCUGGCUCGAGUGUGGGAGAGGAAAGCGGAAUUCCUGGUGUAGCGGUGAAAUGCGUAGAUAUCAGGAGGAACACCUGCGGUGUAGACGGCUUUCUGGACCAUAACUGACGCUGAGACGCGAAAGCGUGGGGAGCAAACAGG
RNAcentral lists this ribosomal RNA (253 nucleotides) under uncultured bacterium. RNAcentral describes it as "partial 16S ribosomal RNA". It matches the Rfam family "Bacterial small subunit ribosomal RNA", at positions 524 to 776 of the family's 1533-position model. The record is from RNAcentral.